RNAcentral lists this unclassified non-coding RNA (355 nucleotides) under soil metagenome. Its description in RNAcentral is "partial contains 5.8S ribosomal RNA, internal transcribed spacer 2, and large subunit ribosomal RNA". The stretch from base 1 to 120 matches the Rfam family "5.8S ribosomal RNA", at positions 35 to 154 of the family's 154-position model. The record is from RNAcentral.
GAUGAAGAACGUAUCGAAAUGCGAUAAGUAAUGCGAAUUGCAGAAUUCAGUGAAUCAUCGAAUCUUUGAACGCACAUUGCGCCCGCUAGUAUUCUGGCGGGCAUGCCUGUCUGAGCGUCAUUUCAACCCUCGCCCCCGGCUUUUGCUGGGAGCGGUGUUGGGGAUCGGCCGCCCGUCACUGGGAGGCCGGCCCCGAAAUAGAGUGGCGACCACGCCGUGUGCUCCUCUGCGUAGUAGUAAAUCACCUCGCAGGCGGACAGCGGUGCGGCCUGCCGUAAAACCCCCAACUCUUUCUGGUUGACCUCAGAUCAGGUAGGAAUACCCGCUGAACUUAAGCAUAUCAAUAAGCGGAGGA